UGCUCGAGUGGCGAACGGGUGAGUAACACGUGAGUAACCUGCCCUUGACUUUGGGAUAACUUCAGGAAACUGGGGCUAAUACCGGAUAGGAGCUCCUGCUGCAUGGUGGGGGUUGGAAAGUUUCGGCGGUUGGGGAUGGACUCGCGGCUUAUCAGCUUGUUGGUGGGGUAGUGGCUUACCAAGGCUUUGACGGGUAGCCGGCCUGAGAGGGUGACCGGCCACAUUGGGACUGAGAUACGGUCCAG
This 245-nucleotide ribosomal RNA is filed under the name uncultured Actinomycetales bacterium. Its description in RNAcentral is "partial 16S ribosomal RNA". It matches the Rfam family "Bacterial small subunit ribosomal RNA", at positions 88 to 334 of the family's 1533-position model. Lineage: Bacteria; Bacillati; Actinomycetota; Actinomycetes; Actinomycetales. The record is from RNAcentral.